RNAcentral lists this small RNA (108 nucleotides) under Marmota monax (woodchuck). The record is from RNAcentral. Lineage: Eukaryota; Metazoa; Chordata; Mammalia; Rodentia; Sciuridae.
GGUGGCACAGAUCUGUAAUCCCAGCUACUUGGGAGGCUGAGGUAGGAGGAUCAUCUGAGCUGAGGAAUUCAAGACCAUCCUAGGCAACAUAGUGAGAUCCCAUCUCAA